Molecule: small nuclear RNA, 187 nt
Organism: Hibiscus syriacus
Lineage: Eukaryota; Viridiplantae; Streptophyta; Magnoliopsida; Malvales; Malvaceae
Product: U2 spliceosomal RNA
Exons: 1
Source: RefSeq, a predicted model, not a curated record
GUACCUUUCCCGAUCUUUUGGCUAAGAUCAAGUGUAGUAUCUGUUCUUAUCAGUUUAAUAUGUGAUACAUGGGUGUCAUUGGCCCACAUGAUAUUAAAUUUAUUUCUUGAGGGGGAGAACUCAUCACAGUAGCUUGCUAUAGCGUUGCUCUAUUGCUCGGGCCUGGCGCACCCCAAGCAAUUCUAAG